RNA transcript from Zingiber officinale, 1863 nucleotides. It is a transcript of the gene named cytosolic isocitrate dehydrogenase [NADP]-like, with no coding region annotated. The transcript is spliced from 16 exons. The record is from RefSeq and is a predicted model, not a curated record. Lineage: Eukaryota; Viridiplantae; Streptophyta; Magnoliopsida; Zingiberales; Zingiberaceae.
UCAGAAAAACGAGGUGACUUCACAGCUGACGGUCUCAUCGGCAACUCAGCCGACCCUAAUAAACGUCGCCGUGACUUGCCUUCGCAGUUUGCAUUCACACGCCGCUCCCCAAUUUUUCGCUUCGCUUCGCUUCCGUUCGUCGAUCAGAUCUCCCCCGCUUCGACGCGCUCGUCUCCGUCGAAAUAGGCAUGGAUCUCUGCAAGAUCAAAGUCGCCAACCCCAUCGUAGAGAUGGAUGGAGAUGAGAUGACGCGUGUAAUUUGGAGACUAAUCAAAGAAAAGCUUGUUUUCCCAUUUCUCGAGUUGGAUAUAAAGUACUUUGACUUAGGCCUUCCAAAUCGUGAUGCUACAAAUGAUAGAGUUACAAUAGAAAGUGCAGAAGCUACUCUAAAAUAUAAUGUGGCAAUAAAAUGUGCAACUAUUACUCCAGAUGAAACUCGUGUUAAGGAGUUCAACUUGAAAGCAAUGUGGAAAAGUCCAAAUGGAACCAUUAGAAACAUUUUGAAUGGGACUGUAUUUAGAGAGCCGAUUAUAUGCAGAAAUAUACCAAGGCUUGUGUCAGGGUGGUCAAAGCCCAUAUGCAUUGGAAGGCAUGCUUUUGGUGAUCAAUACCGAGCCACAGACACAGUUAUUAAAGGACCUGGCAAACUGAAAUUGAUAUUUGAGGGAAAAGAGGAGCAAAUUGAGCUAGAAGUGUUUAAGUUCACAGGUGCUGGUGGGGUGGCACUGUCUAUGUAUAAUACUGAUGAGUCAAUUCGUGCUUUCGCUGAGGCUUCAAUGAACACAGCUUACCAGAAAAGGUGGCCACUUUACCUUAGCACUAAGAACACAAUUCUCAAAAAGUAUGAUGGAAGGUUUAAGGACAUAUUUCAAGAGGUGUAUGAGGCUCAAUGGAAAUCUAAGUUUGAGGCUGCUGAAAUAUGGUAUGAACAUCGCUUGAUAGAUGAUAUGGUUGCUUAUGCUCUUAAGAGUGAUGGGGGUUAUGUAUGGGCUUGUAAGAACUAUGAUGGAGAUGUGCAAAGUGAUUUCUUGGCUCAAGGUUUCGGGUCCCUGGGAUUGAUGACGUCAGUGCUGAUGUGCCCAGAUGGCAAAACUAUUGAGGCUGAAGCUGCACAUGGCACUGUUACUCGUCACUAUCGGGUACACCAGAAAGGGGGAGAAACCAGCACAAACAGCAUUGCUUCAAUUUAUGCAUGGACACGAGGGCUUGCUCACAGGGCAAAGCUAGAUAAUAAUGCUGCAUUGCUCGAUUUCACACAAAAACUUGAGACCUCUUGCAUUGGAGUUGUUGAAUCUGGGAAAAUGACUAAAGAUCUUGCUCUUCUUGUUCAUGGACCCAAGGUUACUCGAGAUAUGUAUUUGAACACGCAAGAGUUUAUUGAUGCAGUUGCAACAGAGCUCAGAGGAAGACUUUGUAGCAAAUCAAAGUUGUAAACCCAUUCUUUGCCAUCUGAGAUUAGACAAAAAUAACUUAGUUGCACUUUCCAUUGAUUCAGGAAAAAUUUAUGUUGCAGUUGCAGGCCCGAAUAAAUUGAUACCGGAUGUGCCUCACUAUCACGCUAAAGCAAUAACGUGCAGUUUAAUAUGCAAGUGAACAAAAUGAAUAUUCGCUAUUAACCUGGUUCAAGGACGUCUGAUGGUAAUCUUUAUGUUGUAUAAACUUGAGUGUUGCACUCACGUGGCUGCGGUUCGAAGUUUGUUUUUGGUCAUGCCACUCUGGAAAAAGAACUUUAAUGGUGAUCUUUAUGUUAUAUAAUUAGAGUGUUGGGCUCAUCUGAUUGUGGUGCCAAGUCUUUUGGUCAUGUAAACUGCAUCUGCAACACAAUUAGUCUUGCAAUCACAAAUUGCACCUUAUAGGUCUAAA